This 257-nucleotide unclassified non-coding RNA is filed under the name Hevea brasiliensis (rubber tree). The record is from RNAcentral. Lineage: Eukaryota; Viridiplantae; Streptophyta; Magnoliopsida; Malpighiales; Euphorbiaceae.
AUCACACUACAGAUAUUACAUUUGUCUCCAAAAGUAAGAAACAUGGUGCAGACAUAAACAACAAUCAAAAUCAAUCUCAAUAUGUGAUAAUUUUAUAUCGAACUCCAUAAUUGAAUACAAUUUCUCUUCACGUACAUUUGAUCUCCAAUUAAGCAGAUUAGAAUUCUUUAAAUAAUUGCAGCAAUUAACAUUAUUGUUAUAUUCAACAUAUAUCAUAUCUUAAGCUAACAACGUCAAUUCUUAUGGCGCAAAUUCAG